CCUCCUCCUCCACCACCACCUCCUCCUCCUCCUCCUCGGCGGCGGCGGCGGCGGCGGCUCCCGCAGGCAGCCCCAGUCCCGCCUCCCCCCUUCAUUUCCUUGUUUUGGAACCUGGUGGGCCGCGCCGCGGCUUCCUCGAGCUCAUUAACGAACCAUCCCGCCCACCCCGAGGUCGCGGGGGCUCCUGGGAAAUGUAGUUCCGGAGGGCCCCAACAGCAACCGAGUUUCGCCAGCAGAAGAAAUACAACACCCAGGCUGCUUUGGGCCGCCACAGCCCCGCCCCGCGAGGCGGGCACGCCUGCGCACUGCGGCCGCCCCUCCCCCUCAGGUAGCGCCGGACUGCCAGUUCCUGUGAAGGUCUGUGCAUAAUGGUGACGUUCUCCAAGGAUGUCUGAGAAAGUGUCCUUAAUCAAGAGUUUUCCAGAUCUGACAAAUGUUGAUACCUUCUAUGAUCAUAAAUAUCAUAAUUUAUUAAUAUCUCCAUGGAUCUCAUCAGGAAACUCUUUAAGAAUUGGGAAGAUACCAAGCUCAUAGUGUCAGGCUGGUAUGUAGAGAGAUGUGGAUGAGCUUUAAUCAUGUGAAUGAAGAUUGCAACCUGUGGUAAGAACUGACUAGAAGGAACCAGGGCUCCUGAAUGAUCUCCCAAAGCAGAGCUACCCACUCACUCACCCUUGACCACUUCCCUGCCUCUGGAUGUUGUGUGAGAGAAAUAAACUUUAAACCUUUUUUUUUUUUUUUUU
Long non-coding RNA from Canis lupus familiaris (dog), 740 nucleotides. RefSeq lists it as uncharacterized. Lineage: Eukaryota; Metazoa; Chordata; Mammalia; Carnivora; Canidae. The transcript is spliced from 4 exons. The record is from RefSeq and is a predicted model, not a curated record.